RNA transcript from Cryptomeria japonica (Japanese cedar), 1127 nucleotides. It is a transcript of the gene named protein root UVB sensitive 3-like, with no coding region annotated. The record is from RefSeq and is a predicted model, not a curated record. The transcript has 5 exons. Lineage: Eukaryota; Viridiplantae; Streptophyta; Pinopsida; Cupressales; Cupressaceae.
AUUUUAUUGAAUUUUGACAGUGGUCACGCCAAAGGAUGUGUCUUCAAUGGAGCAUGUGCUUCCCAAAUGGAUGAGGUUAGAAAGCUUGACAAAGGAUAGGAUUUUUUCUGCAAGUGUAAAGUUAGGAGCAAAAGUUUCAUCAUUGCCACAUGGUGACAUGUUGAAAAUGUUCAGGUCAUCAACUUCUUGCAAUGAAAAAUACUUGUUGCUAUAUAGAGAUGGAAGAAUUGAUAUUGUCCUCCACAAGUUUUCAGAUUCAACAGAUAUUUUGAAGUCAUACAUCCAUGCUCUUGUACUUUCAUAUCAUAUAGGUAGUGGCUCUUCUGUUAAUGCAACCAAAUUUGCAGAAAGCUCUUUGUGGAUGGAUAAAUACUAUUCAAUUUUCAUCUUGAAGCUGCAGGCAUCAGGUUGGGAUGUACGCCGUCUUCUUGUGCCUUUGACUGAUUGGAGAGCCCAUUGGGUAGAAACCUUGGUUGAUCAGAAGGCAACUUAACUUUUUUAAAUGCUUCAAGAUUGGCUAAAAUAAAAGUAGCCCCUUUUAUUUCAAGUUAUAUAUCAUCAAAUUAUAAAGCUAUCUACUCGAUCCUUGUGACUUGCUUUUCAGAAAUGAAAAGAUCUAGUUGAUGCUCGUGCCCUUAAUAUUUAAUCUUCAACCAGAUGUAUGCAAAAUGGAACAUCAUGCAGUCGGUAUAAUAUGAUGUUCGAAUUUUGCUCUCACCAGCAAUUUUACAUUAAAAAAUCGAUAUCGGAUUGUAUCUUAGUGAACUGCUCUAGAUCCAUAUAAAGUAAAACCUUUAUUUGGAUUGAGCUGCUUUAUAAAUAUGCUUCAGGAUUAGAUCAAUGUGUUUUGAAUUUAAGCUCCACUAUCAGAACUGAUUUUGCAUGAAGAAACUAAACCUGUAUUUGCGUAAGUGAACUGGCAGGGGUGGACAAGUGUAGUAGUUUUGCUUCAGCUCACUAUUGUGUUUGAAGUGGGAUGGUUUCUAUAGAUACCAUCCAGAAAUUCACGAAGCAAGGGUCAUCUUUUUCUUAGUUAAGCCCCUACACAAACUGAUUCGAUAACUUUGGAACAAUGAUCAAAGACAAUAGGAAAGCAUGCAACAUGCCUAGGAUUAUGAUACAGUUAA